AGUGAACGCUGGCGGUAGGCCUAACACAUGCAAGUCGAACGGCAGCACAGUAAGAGCUUGCUCUUACGGGUUGCGAGUGGCGGACGGGUGAGGAAUACAUCGGAAUCUACUUUUUCGUGGGGGAUAACGUAGGGAAACUUACUCUCAUACCGCAUACGACCUUCGGGUGAAAGCAUGGGAUCUUCGGACCUUGCGCGAUUGAAUGAGCCGAUGUCGGAUUAGCUAGUUGGCGGGGUAAAGGCCCACCAAUGCGACGAUCCGUAGCUGGUCUGAGAGGAUGAUCAGCCACACUGGAACUGAGACACGGUCCAGACUCCUACGGGAGGCAGCAGUGGGGAAUAUUGGACAAUGGGGGCAAGCCUGAUCCAGCCAUACCGCGUGGGUGAAGAAGGCCUUCGGGUUGUAAAGCCCUUUUGUUGGGAAAGAAAAGCAGCAGGUUAAUACCCCGCUGUUCUGACGGUACCCAAAGAAUAAGCACCGGCUAACUUCGUG
RNAcentral lists this ribosomal RNA (492 nucleotides) under uncultured bacterium. RNAcentral describes it as "partial 16S ribosomal RNA". It matches the Rfam family "Bacterial small subunit ribosomal RNA", at positions 29 to 507 of the family's 1533-position model. The record is from RNAcentral.